RNAcentral lists this ribosomal RNA (492 nucleotides) under uncultured bacterium. Its description in RNAcentral is "partial 16S ribosomal RNA". It matches the Rfam family "Bacterial small subunit ribosomal RNA", at positions 29 to 507 of the family's 1533-position model. The record is from RNAcentral.
AGUGAACGCUGGCGGUAGGCCUAACACAUGCAAGUCGAACGGCAGCACAGUAAGAGCUUGCUCUUACGGGUGGCGAGUGGCGGACGGGUGAGGAAUACAUCGGAAUCUACUUUUUCGUGGGGGAUAACGUAGGGAAACUUACGCUAAUACCGCAUACGACCUACGGGUGAAAGCAGGGGAUCUUCGGACCUUGCGCGAUUGAAUGAGCCGAUGACGGAUUAGCUAGUUGGCGGGGUAAAGGCCCACCAAGGCGACGAUCCGUAGCUGGUCUGAGAGGAUGAUCAGCCACACUGGAACUGAGACACGGUCCAGACUCCUACGGGAGGCAGCAGUGGGGAAUAUUGGACAAUGGGCGCAAGCCUGAUCCAGCCAUACCGCGUGGGUGAAGAAGGCCUUCGGGUUGUAAAGACCUUUUGUUGGGAAAGAAAAGCAGCAGGUUAAUACCCCGCUGUUCUGACGGUACCCAAAGAAUAAGCACCGGCUAACUUCGUG